ACGGUGGAUGCCCUGGCAGUCAGAGGCGAUGAAGGGCGUGCUAAUCUGCGAUAAGCGCCGGUAAGGUGAUAUGAACCGUUAUAACCGGCGAUACCCGAAUGGGGAAACCCAGUGUGAUUCGUCACACUAUCAUUAACUGAAUCCAUAGGUUAAUGAGGCGAACCGGGGGAACUGAAACAUCUAAGUACCCCGAGGAAAAGAAAUCAACCGAGAUUCCCCCAGUAGCGGCGAGCGAACGGGGAGGAGCCCAGAGCCUGAAUCAGCAUGUGUGUUAGUGGAAGCGUCUGGAAAGGCGCGCGAUACAGGGUGACAGCCCCGUACACAAAAGCGCAUGUGCUGUGAGCUCGAUGAGUAGGGCGGGACACGUGGUAUCCUGUCUGAAUAUGGGGGGACCAUCCUCCAAGGCUAAAUACUCCUGACUGACCGAUAGUGAACCAGUACCGUGAGGGAAAGGCGAAAAGAACCCCGGCGAGGGGAGUGAAAAAGAACCUGAAACCGU
This 499-nucleotide ribosomal RNA is filed under the name Salmonella enterica. RNAcentral describes it as "partial 23S ribosomal RNA". It matches the Rfam family "Bacterial large subunit ribosomal RNA", at positions 21 to 559 of the family's 2925-position model. Lineage: Bacteria; Pseudomonadati; Pseudomonadota; Gammaproteobacteria; Enterobacterales; Enterobacteriaceae. RNAcentral also lists the same sequence under 1 other name. The record is from RNAcentral.